UCUUAGCCAAGCAAGGUCACCUUGCCACCCAAAGUCUCCUUGCCCAUGGUAUCCCCAUGACAAGAAGACAGCAUAUUUGUACCCAAAUAUGUAUUCAUCUAUUGUUGGAAUGCAAUGUAUCAUUCCAAAGACGUAUCCAUCCAAACUCCCUCAUCCUUCCAACCUCUCUCGUGUCUUGCAACCAACCUUAGUACUUCCGCUGCAACCCGUUGUCGUAGUGCUUGGCGCACUACCCCUUCCGGGAAAGGCUUACUUGGCUACGUGGGCAUUGUAGUUAGCCAAGUGCCGCACGUAUGGUUAGCUUCAGAUCCUAACCACGUGACAUGAGGCAUGCAUACUACCAAAUAUACUAUAAAUAAACCAUAAUUCUUUUUUAAGAAAUUAAACAACUAAUUAAAUAUAAAGAAGAAAGAUUAGAAAAUGAAUGAUCAAACAAACUAUGACUCAUUUAUUUUUGACAGGUUCGGCCAGUAUCACCUGACAAUUCAUUUUCACCAAGAAAAAUAAACAUGAGUAGC
This 518-nucleotide long non-coding RNA is filed under the name Cucumis sativus (cucumber). RNAcentral's name for it is "long non-coding RNA (CSAT_LNC002989)". The record is from RNAcentral. Lineage: Eukaryota; Viridiplantae; Streptophyta; Magnoliopsida; Cucurbitales; Cucurbitaceae.